This 3551-nucleotide long non-coding RNA is filed under the name Homo sapiens (human). RNAcentral describes it as "HSALNT0370625". The record is from RNAcentral. Lineage: Eukaryota; Metazoa; Chordata; Mammalia; Primates; Hominidae.
CCUCCUGGGCCGCGCCGAUAGCUUAUCGGGUCCACUCUGGGGGCGCCCAGUGCUACAACCGGAAACGCGGCUGGAGGCCAGUGGAUGCUUGAUGGAGCAGUUCGCGCCGUGGUGCGCGCGCGCCAGGGCUUAGGCUCCAAGUAAAGGCCUUCUUCAUCCAUCCACCCACAACCAGGAUGGCAAAGUACCCGUGGAGACACUGAUGAAAACUAUGGACUUUCUCCAGAAAAAUACACCCAAAAUACAAUUUUGAGACCAGCAUCCAGGCUCUGAAGACCUGUGACAGCCAUCCAUGGAGUCAUGUUAAGAACCUCCACUCCAACUAACCCAAAGCUCACAGCCCUGGAGGAGAAGAAGCCUGUUUGGGGAAUUCUACCUUGGCUCCAUGUCUCUGAAGAGGCUUGUCCCAGGGAAUAUAAUGGGAUCCUCGCUCACACACAACCCAACAGCCGACCCACAAUGGCACACCUCCCAGUUAUUGCCUUAGUCCGGCAAACCCCUGGCUAAGCAUCCACAGCCGAGCUGAGGGCAGUGAGAAAAGUUCAAGUCGCCAGCUGAAGUGGUCUUUAACACCCCCCCCCCGGCCUUCUCAGCCUCACUGUUUAUCCAUAUGAAGCGCUCUCCUUCCCGGCCCACUUCCACCCCCACCUUUCUGAGAUCGGCUAUAAAAAUAAACUAUUUUUCCUUGUUAAUAAAUCUCCGCCCGGCGCCCUCUUUUAAAGAACUCAAAAAAAAAAAAAAAAAAAAAGAAAGAAAGAAAGAAAAAAAAAAUCACUGCGCCCAGCGCGAGCGAGCAGGGAGAUUAAUCUCGAAGCAGGAUUUAUGUGGCGCGGGGAUCCUCAAACAAUUGGAGUCGUAAAGUGAAAUGAGAUUCGGAGGCGGGUGGGGGAGGGGGAGGGCCUCGGGAACCGCAAACACGUUUGUGUAGCUAAACAAUGUGGAAACUUUUAAAGACCCAUUUCUGCAGACAUCUUGCAGCAACCGCGCUUCUCUGUCAGCCCGCGGGAAAGAGAGAGAGAUAUAUUAACUGAAGACACAAUCUAAAAUUACUUAGGGGUUUUAAACAUGCGGACAAUGGGGGCGGGGGUGCUGAUAAACUGUUGUCCAUAUUUCCUUCUCUCAGGGUAUUAUUUCCAAAAUAUUCCACCCCCUUCACAAUGCCCCCUCCCUCCCCCCCUCUUCUUUUCUCUCUCCAUUCAUUACUUUGACGAGUGUGCAGCAGCCGAAGUCGAAGCCGGGAGGUAACAGAAGCCAGCGCGCAGGAUCCGGGUUUGCGCCCUAGUGCCCGGCGCAAUUGCGCCUGUGCGUAAAGACGCUGGUGAGGCGCAGAGCCCGAAUGCCAGGGCUUAGGUACAUCACAUCUACUUCUGGGGUGGUCUUUCUUAGGACGUUAGAUUCUUAGAGGCUUUAAGGAUUCCACGCAGUCUUUUAAUGCGUGGCCUUGGUCAGGAUCGCAGGCAAACCUUUUUCCCUGGCCUCAGGAGUAAGCGCGCAGGAACGCAUGCCCAGGCGGUUCCGGCUCCCAGCCCUGAUAUGUGUGCACUUAGAGCUGGUGAGCUGUUUUGGACUCCUUGGCUCCAGAUAUACAACUAAGAGAGAAGCAGGAGCGAAGGCUGGCCCUCCUUGUUGCUGGGGGGACUUGUGUAGGAAUUGUCGUUAAGUCUGGCGAAAUUGGGGCACGGGCUCAACAUUCAUCGUGCCCUGUAGCAACGCCCGCCUUCCGAGCACGGGAUUCCCACAGUCGUCAAAUCCCCGCAGGAACUAGGCGGCCUGGGUCAGCCUGUUUGACCUCCCGUUUGCUUCUCUGUAAAAUGGCGAUAUAACGGUAUCUACCCCGAUGGUUGUUGGGAGAUUAAGUGACUGCAAAGCUCGUAGAAAAGUGUAGGUGGUCAAUUAGUGUCAGAUGUUUCUGUGGUUAUCGCUUCUUAUGACUGAGUUGUAAGAGCGUGGGCAGAACCCGAAAGACUGCCCUGUUACUCUACAGAGGAGACAGGGCCAGAGAGAGGCAUUCCGUGUCUCAUAGUGAAUGAGGAGAAUGUUAGGGUUGAAAGCCUGAUUUCUGGGUUCAUUCAUUGAUUUGAUAAAUAUCCCAUUAGUUUCAGGCUCGGUGCUGAGCUCUGGAGGCCCAGCUGUGACCAGGUUGGUCCUGUGCCCCGCGGAGCCCGACGAUCAGCGGGAGAGACCGAUGCUGAAACCUACAGUAUUUCCUUUGAUGCCAAAUUCUUGCCCGCGCCGCUCCUUAAUGCUUCUCUGGUCACAGCUGGGGCGCUGCAGGCUGCAGACAGACCCCUGUCCCCAGGAGGCAUACAAACGUGGGGGUUAGGGGAGAACAGGCAAAGGCAGAAGCAUUCUCCACCUAGGACGCCUCUGUGGCCGCCGCCGCGCGCCAGCCUGUGACCAGCGGCGCAGCUUCACCCAGGCUGCCGGCUGCCGCUGUCGCCCUUGCGGGGCACACGUCCAGCAAAACAUUUCUAAAUGUGUCUGGGCCCAAUUCCGGAGUGUGAAGCAAUCCCUCCGGCCCACGCUGCCGGCGGACCCUUUAUGUAGUCGCGUUUCAGCCGCGCAGCGCUCAUCAGCGCCACUUAUGUCAUCGUUUCUGGGUGCGCGCGGGCAAAUUUGCUCCGCGCGCGCGCGCCCAGCGACCCCAGCGACCCUCCCCUCCCAGUGGCCUCCACUCUAGCCCUGCAGGGCCCCCAGGGAUUUGCUCUGGGGGCUUGGCCAAGAAAAGUGGCCACCGGGACGGGCUGUUCUCUGCCUCCGUGAGUGUGGCCCAGGUGGAAAUUCCAGUGAAAACUGAGCAUUCUGAAUUAAAACAAAACACAGCUAACUUAAACUAACCUAAACUCGUUUAGAGAGGUUUGAAUUGGCUGCCUAAUUACGGAUUCCUCCAUCAUGAGUCUCUUGAAUUACCUAGGCAAAACUGUCAAUUAUCCAAAUGUUAUACUGAAUUUCCCAGAAUUUCCUGGAUUUGCCAGGUAGUCAACAUCUGCUGUUAUGGGGACAACCGUCCAGAUUGUAUUAGCACAGUGUUCUGCUCUCCAGCUGUGGCUGGAUGCCUGCUCACUCUCCUGAAUUUUUCUGAUACAGUACUUCUGGAUUUAUUUUUCCCUGGCAAAUUCCACAAUGCUCCCAAGGUUGUGAUGGAGAAGGGAGGGAGAGAUGGGUGUGGUGAUGAGAGUGGUGGUUACCUUGGCAUCUUCUCUGAGCUUCUUGGGCUUCUGAGUAUGUUCAUGGCUGGAAGAAGAGCUUCAGAGGCAGCCCCACCAGGUUUCCCAAAUUAGAGAAUUAAAGCAAUCUCUCUGGUCAUCCACACACUAGAUGUCUCAACUUUUCCCAAAUUUCCAGAUAAUUAAGUGUAUAAGGGAAAUGAGAAGAUGGGCCAAAAUUUCCACAUAAUUUUCUAAUUUUCUUUCAUCUCCAUUAUGUCACGAGAAGUGUAAAUACACCCCUUUUACCUUGAAAGGAGAAAGAAAGAAAGAAAGAGAAAGAAAGAAAGGCAAACAAAACAAAUCUCCUGUAUUUGUUUGAAACUCUCUUCCUGCAUUUAGAGG